This is a long non-coding RNA of Anas platyrhynchos (mallard), 1823 nucleotides long. RefSeq lists it as uncharacterized. Lineage: Eukaryota; Metazoa; Chordata; Aves; Anseriformes; Anatidae. The record is from RefSeq and is a predicted model, not a curated record.
GAGGCUUAGUGGGGUCAUAUACAAAAUAAAAAUAUUUACACAACACCAUUGACAAAGCAGUUAUAUGAUUGUCUCUUGCAAACAGUGAUAGACAGCCCUGGACACACACCCUGAUUUCCUGUAGAAAGAAACCUGGAUUUGCACCUUUACAACGAGCGGGAUAUCAUCCUCCCAGCUUCAUAAGGGAUGAGGAUGCCACCAUAGACUGCCCAAGUUACAUUACAUCCUUCCUUUUAUCUUCAAGGCUUUUCUGAAAUACUCUGUUUCCCGGUUCCAACGAACAAACCUAUUUCUUUUCUUAGGAACCUGUAGCAGCAGCUUCUUGAGAUGAUCAAGCCAGCCUUGCAGCCCAUUGACAAUGAAAGAAGGGGCCCUGCUCUCUCCACUGACUGUCUUCCCCUUCAGCCACGUGCUUUCCUACUUUGUGUUACACCUUUCUGGUGCUUAGCAAACCCCUUAACAAACCUUCACAACUCUGUUACUCAGGGGAAAUUAAAACAGAUCAUAAGUAUCUGAUGAAUUAAUCGGAUGAAUUGGGUUGUGGGGUGUCCAACAGGCAUUGGGGAGGAGCAGAGUGAUGUAAAUGGGAACAUAAAAAGAGAACUGAGACUGUCCCUUCAUAACAACCAUGAGACCAGCUGCUCUUGAAAUUUCAGUGUGUUGCCUGCUCAGAUCAGAUAACAGACAGCAAGAAGUAAGGGGGGGGGGGGGGGGAGCUCUUCCAGAUUUACAGAUAAUUUCUACUGAUUAUACAGCAAAAGUAUCUGAAAUCUAAAGUCAAGUGAUUAAAAAACAAUAAUAACUAGAUUUCAUUACUAAUGUAUUUUUAUUCAUUAUUAAUUAUUAUCUAACUCACUUCUACAAUAGAAUGAAUGUAGCAUUAAUAUGAUUUAUUAAGUUGUGGUUAUCCCAGACUCAUGAUCUUUGGGUCCUAAAAAACAAGUUAGACACUUAUAAGUGUCUAACUUAUAGACACUUAUAGACACUUAUAAGACUUCUGAGCUUCUUUGUUGUUGUGGGUUUUUUGUUUGUUUGUUUUUCCUUACUACUUUACUCAUUAGCCCCACCUUGCAUACAGUUUCGCACAACAGUGCCAACAACAAAUUCUAUACAUUGUAAAAUAUGUUUAAUACGGCUCCAAUGUAAGUAACCAAAUCCUAAUGGGAUGGGGUACAUUUCUGUCUUUAUUCGCAGGUCACGUACAGGUCUCCAGUGACAGGGGAACAGUGGGCUAAUGAUGCUAUAUCAUCAUUUCAGAGCAGUAUAUCUUACAUCCAAUAUUGAAUCAAGGUGCUCUCUCUUCUACACAAAGUCAAAAAUGCUCCCGCCCUUCAUGAUUUGUAGGACUUUAACAUAUUUUGACCAGUGUUCAUUGUGUUUCUGACUUUUCCUCAGUGAGAAAAAAUGUUUUAUUUUGCUGUAAAAUUAUUGCAACAAAUUAUUAAAUUAUUAAAUGUAUUUCUUAGACACUGGAAGUAAACUUUUUUUUUUUUUCCCCUACAUUUUAUCAUAUGUUUAGAGGUGAUUUGACUUUGUGUUUUGCUUAUAUUGCCAGUCAAAUGGAAAGGGUUUGAAAACAUAUCAAAUUUGGUACAGCAGUUCUGGCAAAUGAAAUCUGUUUUUUGUGCAACUACUAACCAAUUACUCUAACUUUGGAUUCCUAGUUACCAAGGGUGGGCAUAUAGUAUGAUCAAAAUUAAUGUGAAGAUAAUGUGAAGCUUUCAAAUCUCACGUAUUAGUGCUUUACCAUGUUUUUUUUUCCUUCCUUAUUACUGAUCUGUCUUAUUUUAUUAGCAUAAAUUAAAUAAAAUUUUGAAUGAAUA